GAAAUAUCAGUAAAUAAGCUUCUAACUUAAUUUCAAAGCAAUACAAUUGUUUAUAUUUCU
RNAcentral lists this transfer RNA (60 nucleotides) under Tenebrionoidea sp. 9 KM-2017. RNAcentral describes it as "tRNA-Ser". The record is from RNAcentral. Lineage: Eukaryota; Metazoa; Arthropoda; Insecta; Coleoptera.